Non-coding RNA from Paramuricea clavata, 413 nucleotides. NCBI's taxonomy places the organism in Eukaryota, Metazoa, Cnidaria, Anthozoa, Malacalcyonacea, Plexauridae. The record is from the annotation of a GenBank genome assembly.
GCUGCAUCCAUCCUGCACUGAUAUCAUAGAAGACUGUUCUAGACUGCUCUUCCUAUUUUAAAUGCACAUGGACAAAUCACUUUGAGAACAACGCUUGUUCCAUGCUAUAUAUAUAUAUGAAUUGCGCAUUGCACAGUCUGCCAGCCAAGGCAAGAAUUUUGAAAUGAUUCAAGUGAAUGAAAUAUAAUUCCUAAUCCGUCUUAUCAACGCAUUCAUCAAAAUCCUAUAAGUAAUAAAAAUCUCCAAAUACAAUUUGGAAUAGCUCAUUGUGGAUAGAGUUUAAAAUAAUAUCACUUACCUUUAGGGAUUUUAACUUUGAUUUUGUUUCGUAAUUUGUGUUAUACUGCGCUCGACUUCGAUACUUUACGCCGGUUGACUCUUUCGCACGACUCUCAAGUGUGAGUAACUGAAAA